GAUACACUCCCCAAACGAGUCACAAUCCCAAAAAGUAUCAGUGCCAAAAACGUUAGCUAACGUUUUCUAUUUUCGAAAAUCUAAACACUUAUCCAGACUUUCUGUAUAGAGAGUGAUGACAGAACCGAACAUUAUCAAUGAGGAGGAUACCUCGUCCUCUAGUUCGAGCGAUGAUUCUGCCUAUUUCCUGGCUGAGGGGUAUGCCCAAACGGAUGAUGAAUCUGCCACUUGGGGUUCUUACACGGUUGAGUCUGCCGCAAAGAAUGUUAAGGCAGCAGAUGCCAGCACAGGAGACGCAAAGCCAGGAGAUGCUUCAAAGAUUGGCCAAGCGAGCUUCUGGUGCGUUAUAUGCUAAUUGAAUGUUUGAUCUGUUUACUGUUUACACUUUCACACAAGAACAUCGCUUUUACCAGUGUUCAUGCAAGUGCCAAGUUCUGUAGGUUUCGAAACAAUUACAAAUUCAGAGAGAUGAUUAUAUUUCAAAUAAAUAUAAAUGUUAAUCAUUAAUGCAGCUCUAAGUACUACAUAUAUAUGAUUUAUGAAUGAUGCUGAUACUUUUAGUUUUAUCUGCUCUUCCCCUAAAUGAAUCAUGAAAAUUCGUACUUUAUUCUUUUAGAUUUAUCUCUCUUAUUUCCCUUCGAAGUCCCCCCUCUGCAUACAGCAUUUUAUGCACCCCAAAAACUAUAUUUACUCGCAAUUUGAAGCGACGACUGGUCUUUCAUUAAGUCGCUGUGCAAAUCCAAGUCGCUCUGUCUCAUUGAAUAAGUACAAAUCAUGCAGUAAUCAAAUGGGGACUGGUAUGGGGGUACGCAGGAUACGCGGUAGAAUAUAUACUCAUUGGGGAAGCCAUUCUAUUCUGGGCGCUUGUCAUUUAAUAUCCGCAAUUAAAGUGGUAAUCAAUCAAAAUGAACAGGCAGAAAACCUAAAUGAAUUAAAAGCAAACGAAGGAACAAAGCAAAGGAUGAAUGCACAGGACGAACCGGAAUGAGAGUCGCCGCAAACACACAAUAAACAGAAAGGAAGAGAAAGAAAACUGAAGCGCAGCAAAUGAACGGAAAAAACUUACAAAAAAGAAAGAAAAGGCAAAGAAAAGGAAACCAAAAAAACACCAGAACAAACAGCGAGAAACCACAGCGAAUGCACUGAGGGAAUACCCAGAGGCAAAUAAUUAGAAGCGUUAUUUGCUAUUAUGUAAAUCAAAGAUAGAAGACACAAGAGGCAAGAAGUCUCCUUCCUUUGAUUUCCUUUGACAAUAUUGCUUGGCAGGUGACGGGAAAAACAAAUGCAACGAAAUCAAAUUUU
Drosophila obscura is the source of this 1302-nucleotide long non-coding RNA. RefSeq lists it as uncharacterized. The record is from RefSeq and is a predicted model, not a curated record. Lineage: Eukaryota; Metazoa; Arthropoda; Insecta; Diptera; Drosophilidae. The transcript is spliced from 3 exons.